This 465-nucleotide ribosomal RNA is filed under the name Vreelandella stevensii. Its description in RNAcentral is "partial 16S ribosomal RNA". It matches the Rfam family "Bacterial small subunit ribosomal RNA", at positions 338 to 795 of the family's 1533-position model. The record is from RNAcentral. Lineage: Bacteria; Pseudomonadati; Pseudomonadota; Gammaproteobacteria; Oceanospirillales; Halomonadaceae.
CCUACGGGGGACAGCAGUGGGGAAUAUUGGACAAUGGGCGAAAGCCUGAUCCAGCCAUGCCGCGUGUGUGAAGAAGGCCUUCGGGUUGUAAAGCACUUUCAGUGGGGAAGAAAGCCUUGGGGCUAAUACCCUCGAGGAAGGACAUCACCCACAGAAGAAGCACCGGCUAACUCCGUGCCAGCAGCCGCGGUAAUACGGAGGGUGCGAGCGUUAAUCGGAAUUACUGGGCGUAAAGCGCGCGUAGGCGGUCUGAUAAGCCGGUUGUGAAAGCCCCGGGCUCAACCUGGGAACGGCCUCCGGAACUGUCAGGCUAGAGUGCAGGAGAGGAAGGUAGAAUUCCCGGUGUAGCGGUGAAAUGCGUAGAGAUCGGGAGGAAUACCAGUGGCGAAGGCGGCCUUCUGGACUGACACUGACGCUGAGGUGCGAAAGCGUGGGUAGCAAACAGGAUUAGAUACCCUAGUAGUC